Molecule: ribosomal RNA, 660 nt
Filed under: uncultured bacterium
Lineage: Bacteria
Description: bacterial SSU rRNA
Rfam family: Bacterial small subunit ribosomal RNA
Source: RNAcentral
UGGUAGUNCACGCCGUAAACGAUGAGUGCUAGGUGUUAGGCCCUUUCCGGGGCUUAGUGCCGGAGCUAACGCAAUAAGCACUCCGCCUGGGGAGUACGACCGCAAGGUUGAAACUCAAAGGAAUUGACGGGGGCCCGCACAAGCGGUGGAGCAUGUGGUUUAAUUCGAAGCAACGCGAAGANCCUUACCAGGUCUUGACAUCCCGAUGCUAUUCUUAGAGAUAGGAAGUUACUUCGGUACAUCGGAGACAGGUGGUGCAUGGUUGUCGUCAGCUCGUGUCGUGAGAUGUUGGGUUAAGUCCCGCAACGAGCGCAACCCUUAUUGUUAGUUGCCAUCAUUAAGUUGGGCACUCUAGCGAGACUGCCGGUAAUAAACCGGAGGAAGGUGGGGAUGACGUCAAAUCAUCAUGCCCCUUAUGACCUGGGCUACACACGUGCUACAAUGGUCGGUACAACGAGUUGCGAGCCGGUGACGGCAAGCUAAUCUCUGAAAGCCGAUCUCAGUUCGGAUUGGAGGCUGCAACUCGCCUCCAUGAAGUCGGAAUCGCUAGUAAUCGCGGAUCAGCACGCCGCGGUGAAUACGUUCCCGGGCCUUGUACACACCGCCCGUCACACCACGAGAGUUUGUAACACCCGAAGUCGGUGAGGUANCCUUUUAGGG